UUCGAGCGGCGGUCGCGCUGCCGGCCCAGACCUGUCGGGAUCGGUAGCCGCAUGGCUGCGCCCAUCUCGGGCCGCGGAGCCCGGAACCUGCUGCAGUUCCUGCGGCUGGUGGGGCAGCUCAAGAGAGUCCCACGUACUGGCUGGGUAUACAGAAAUGUCCAGAAGCCAGAGAGCGUAUCAGAUCACAUGUAUAGGAUGGCAAUUAUGGCUCUGGUGACCAAAGAUGAACAUCUUAACAAAGACCGAUGUGUACGCCUAGCCCUGGUUCAUGAUAUGGCAGAAUGCAUCGUUGGGGACAUAGCACCAGCAGAUAACAUCCCCAAAGAAGAAAAACAUAGGCGAGAAGAGGAAGCUAUGAAGCAGCUAACCCAGCUCCUCCCAGAGGAUCUCAGAAAAGAGCUCUAUGAACUCUGGGAAGAAUAUGAGACCCAAUCUAGUGCAGAAGCUAAAUUUGUGAAGCAGCUGGACCAAUGUGAAAUGAUUCUUCAGGCAUCUGAAUAUGAAGACCUUGAGAACAAACCUGGGAGACUGCAGGACUUCUUCAAUUCCACAGCAGACCUUGAUUAUGAGAAUAUUUAUCACCAGACAAGAAAUAUAUGAGUUAUACUGGGUCACGGGACCUUUUGGAGAGAACACAUCCGACCCGACUUCUUCCCCUCAUUUCCCUUUCAUAGGAUACCUGUGCUGCUUGUCUGGAAUUGGUCUUCUGAAUAACAAACCCUAGAACUAUGUUGCCGAGUAAAUAAUUAUUCUUGGGUUGAACUGUUGGUUCGCAGACUGGCUCCUCUACACGGAGGGCAAGGAGAGACGGAAGAAGAGGCAGGCACUCCAGCUUAGUAGGUGGCCAGUUCACAAGCAAGGCAACUUACAUAUGCAGCUUGUCUGGGGCAGCCUCAAGACAAGAUCUCUGCACUCACCUGUCAGAAUCUUGAGUUUAUAUAGAAGCUUUAACUGGCUUCAGUCAGUCAUGUGUACCAUCCAGAUAGUCUCAACCAUUUCUGUCUCAAGGCAGCAUCCUUGAAACAGCUCCUAGUGUGGGAAUGGUAGGUGGAACACACAUUACAUGCACAGGGAUGGGGUGAGGACCCUCUGAUUGCCUGGGUCCAGCUCUCUGGUCAGCUGGUGGUCACAUCCUCCUGAUGACCUCCUCCAGCAUGAACUCAACAAAAAAAAGAAUUCCUUGUUACCUCUUAGGAAUGAGGAAGAGACUACCCCGCACUCAAAAAGAGGAGCAGCUGGAAGGGUUGGUCUGCAGGGGGCACCUCAGGCUAGUUCUCCCUGCCUCUUCCCUGGGGCUGAUCUGGGUCGGGUGGAGGUGGGGGUGGUUCCUUCUCCAAAACAAUUCCUUGUUUUCCCAUUGUUUGUGGGCUACCAUUUCCCUAGCUCUUAGGUAAUUCUCAAUGCCCUUAUAUUUGACAAAUAGUAAUUCUAACAGAAUGGCCAACCUGUUCAUCUUAAAGUCUUGUAACAUAUGCUCUGGGAUAAAUGACUAACGAAGUGCCUUGGGAAGAGCAUCCUCUGUACCCUGCAUUUUUAUUUAAGUAACUUGCCAGUCUUUAUAGACAAAGUGAGAUUGGGGAUGAUUUCUGUGGGAGACUUAGGAUUAUGUUAUUUGUGGUUUGCCUUGAUAUAUGUACUCUUUAUGGUAGAAACUGAAAGUCAAGUAGAAAUAAAAUAAAGAACUUUACCAUUCUUAAAUAAAGAUUAUCAAAAAUAACCAUAA
This is an RNA transcript of Balaenoptera ricei (Rice's whale), 1723 nucleotides long. It is a transcript of the gene named HD domain containing 2, with no coding region annotated. The record is from RefSeq and is a predicted model, not a curated record. The transcript is spliced from 7 exons. Lineage: Eukaryota; Metazoa; Chordata; Mammalia; Artiodactyla; Balaenopteridae.